RNAcentral lists this ribosomal RNA (490 nucleotides) under uncultured bacterium. RNAcentral describes it as "partial 16S ribosomal RNA". It matches the Rfam family "Bacterial small subunit ribosomal RNA", at positions 30 to 507 of the family's 1533-position model. The record is from RNAcentral.
AUUGAACGCUGGCGGCAGGCCUAACACAUGCAAGUCGAACGGUAACAGGAAGCAGCUUGCUGCUUUGCUGACGAGUGGCGGACGGGUGAGCAAUGUCUGGGAAACUGCCCGAUGGAGGGGGAUAACUACUGGAAACGGUAGCUAAUACCGCAUAACGUCGCAAGACCAAAGAGGGGGACCUUAGGGCCUCUUGCCAUCGGAUGUGCCCAGAUGGGAUUAGCUAGUAGGUGGGGUAACGGCUCACCUAGGCGACGAUCCCCAGCUGGUCUGAGAGGAUGACCAGCCACACUGGAACUGAGACACGGUCCAGACUCCUACGGGAGGCAGCAGUGGGGAAUAUUGCACAAUGGGCGCAAGCCUGAUGCAGCCAUGCCGCGUGUAUGAAGAAGGCCUUCGGGUUGUAAAGUACUUUCAGCGGGGAGGAAGGGAGUAAAGUUAAUACCUUUGCUCAUUGACGUUACCCGCAGAAGAAGCACCGGCUAACUCCGUG